UGCCAGCCGCCGCGGUAAUACGGAGGGUGCAAGCGUUGUUCGGAAUUAUUGGGCGUAAAGCGCGUGUAGGCGGUUCGUUAAGUCUGAUGUGAAAGCCCGGGGCUCAACCCCGGAAGUGCAUUGGAAACUGGCGAACUUGAGUACGGGAGAGGAAAGCGGAAUUCUUGGUGUAGCGGUGGAAUGCGUAGAUAUCAAGAGGAAUACCAAUGGCGAAGGCAGCUUUCUGGACAAAAACUGACGCUCAGGUGCGAAAGCGUGGGGAGCAAACAGGAUUAGAUA
Molecule: ribosomal RNA, 279 nt
Filed under: uncultured bacterium
Lineage: Bacteria
Description: partial 16S ribosomal RNA
Rfam family: Bacterial small subunit ribosomal RNA
Source: RNAcentral